UUUAUGGAGGUUNUCUCCCUCGCCAGGACGAACGCUGGCGGCGUGCCUAAUACAUGCAAGUCGAGCGGACAGAUGGGAGCUUGCUCCCUGAUGUUAGCGGCGGACGGGUGAGUAACACGUGGGUAACCUGCCUGUAAGACUGGGAUAACUCCGGGAAACCGGGGCUAAUACCGGAUGGUUGUUUGAACCGCAUGGUUCAAACAUAAAAGGUGGCUUCGGCUACCACUUACAGAUGGACCCGCGGCGCAUUAGCUAGUUGGUGAGGUAACGGCUCACCAAGGCAACGAUGCGUAGCCGACCUGAGAGGGUGAUCGGCCACACUGGGACUGAGACACGGCCCAGACUCCUACGGGAGGCAGCAGUAGGGAAUCUUCCGCAAUGGACGAAAGUCUGACGGAGCAACGCCGCGUGAGUGAUGAAGGUUUUCGGAUCGUAAAGCUCUGUUGUUAGGGAAGAACAAGUACCGUUCGAAUAGGGCGGUACCUUGACGGUACCUAACCAGAAAGCCACGGCUAACUACGUGCCAGCAGCCGCGGUAAUACGUAGGUGGCAAGCGUUGUCCGGAAUUAUUGGGCGUAAAGGGCUCGCAGGCGGUUUCUUAAGUCUGAUGUGAAAGCCCCCGGCUCAACCGGGGAGGGUCAUUGGAAACUGGGGAACUUGAGUGCAGAAGAGGAGAGUGGAAUUCCACGUGUAGCGGUGAAAUGCGUAGAGAUGUGGAGGAACACCAGUGGCGAAGGCGACUCUCUGGUCUGUAACUGACGCUGAGGAGCGAAAGCGUGGGGAGCGAACAGGAUUAGAUACCCUGGUAGUCCACGCCGUAAACGAUGAGUGCUAAGUGUUAGGGGGUUUCCGCCCCUUAGUGCUGCAGCUAACGCAUUAAGCACUCCGCNNGA
Molecule: ribosomal RNA, 893 nt
Filed under: Bacillus subtilis
Lineage: Bacteria; Bacillati; Bacillota; Bacilli; Caryophanales; Bacillaceae
Description: bacterial SSU rRNA
Rfam family: Bacterial small subunit ribosomal RNA
Source: RNAcentral